RNAcentral lists this ribosomal RNA (617 nucleotides) under uncultured bacterium. RNAcentral describes it as "bacterial SSU rRNA". It matches the Rfam family "Bacterial small subunit ribosomal RNA", at positions 338 to 948 of the family's 1533-position model. The record is from RNAcentral.
CCUACGGGAGGCAGCAGUAGGGAAUCUUCCGCAAUGGACGAAAGUCUGACGGAGCAACGCCGCGUGAACGAUGAAGGCCUUCGGGUCGUAAAGUUCUGUUGUUAGGGAAGAACAAGUGCUAGUUAAAUAAGCUGGCACCUUGACGGUACCUAACCAGAAAGCCACGGCUAACUACGUGCCAGCAGCCGCGGUAAUACGUAGGUGGCAAGCGUUGUCCGGAAUUAUUGGGCGUAAAGCGCGCGCAGGCGGUUUCUUAAGUCUGAUGUGAAAGCCCCCGGCUCAACCGGGGAGGGUCAUUGGAAACUGGGAAACUUGAGUGCAGAAGAGGAAAGUGGAAUUCCAAGUGUAGCGGUGAAAUGCGUAGAGAUUUGGAGGAACACCAGUGGCGAAGGCGACUUUCUGGUCUGUAACUGACGCUGAGGCGCGAAAGCGUGGGGAGCAAACAGGAUUAGAUACCCUGGUAGUCCACGCUGUAAACGAUGAGUGCUAAGUGUUAGAGGGUUUCCGCCCUUUAGUGCUGAAGUUACGCAUUAAGCACUCCGCCUGGGGAGUCGGUCGCAAAGCUGAAACUUAAGAAUUGACGUUGAGNGNGNGCGAGCGACGACGACGGAGAGGAG